GCCGCUUUAGCUCAGUGGUAGAGCAACGCACUUGUAAUGCGUAGGUCCGGGGUUCGAGUCCCCGAAGCGGCUCCA
This 75-nucleotide transfer RNA is filed under the name Candidatus Peribacteraceae bacterium. RNAcentral's name for it is "tRNA-Thr". It matches the Rfam family "tRNA". Rfam says of the family: Transfer RNA (tRNA) molecules are approximately 80 nucleotides in length. The record is from RNAcentral. Lineage: Bacteria; Candidatus Peregrinibacteriota; Candidatus Peribacteria; Candidatus Peribacterales.